Molecule: ribosomal RNA, 253 nt
Filed under: uncultured bacterium
Lineage: Bacteria
Description: partial 16S ribosomal RNA
Rfam family: Bacterial small subunit ribosomal RNA
Source: RNAcentral
UACGUAGGUGGCAAGCGUUGUCCGGAUUUAUUGGGCUUAAAGGGUGCGUAGGCGGCUUUAUAAGUCAGUGCUGAAAUAUCCCGGCUUAACCGGGAGGGUGGCAUUGAUACUGCAGAGCUUGAGUGAAGUCGAGGUAGGCGGAAUUGACGGUGUAGCGGUGAAAUGCUUAGAUAUCGUCAAGAACACCGAUAGUGAAGACAGCUUACUAGACUUCAACUGACGCUGAGGCACGAAAGUGUGGGGAGCAAACAGG